GCUAGGAGGCGUCGAGCGGCGGACGGGUGAGAUAAUGCAUAGGAAUCUGCCCGGUAGUGGGGGAUAACCUGUGGGAAACCCAGGCUAAUACCGCAUACGCCCUACGGGGGAAAGCAGGGGAUCUUCGGACCUUGCGCUAUCGGAUGAGCCUAUGUCGGAUUAGCUAGUUGGUGAGGUAACGGCUCACCAAGGCUGCGAUCCGUAGCUGGUCUGAGAGGAUGAUCAGCCACAUCGGGACUGAGACACGGCCCGAACUCCUACGGGAGGCAGCAGUGGGGAAUAUUGGACAAUGGGCGAAAGCCUGAUCCAGCCAUGCCGCGUGUGUGAAGAAGGCCUUCGGGUUGUAAAGCACUUUCAGUGAGGAAGAAAGCCUUGGGGUUAAUACCCUCGAGGGAGGACAUCACUCACAGAAGAAGCACCGGCUAACUCCGUGCCAGCAGCCGCGGUAAUACGGAGGGUGCGAGCGUUUAAUCGGAAUUACUGGGCGUAAAGCGCGCGUAGGCGGCUUGAUAAGCCGGUUGUGAAAGCCCCGGGCUCAACCUGGGAACGGCAUCCGGAACUGUCAGGCUAGAGUGCAGGA
RNAcentral lists this ribosomal RNA (580 nucleotides) under Halomonas saccharevitans. Its description in RNAcentral is "bacterial SSU rRNA". It matches the Rfam family "Bacterial small subunit ribosomal RNA", at positions 79 to 653 of the family's 1533-position model. Lineage: Bacteria; Pseudomonadati; Pseudomonadota; Gammaproteobacteria; Oceanospirillales; Halomonadaceae. The record is from RNAcentral.